RNAcentral lists this ribosomal RNA (346 nucleotides) under uncultured bacterium. RNAcentral's name for it is "partial 16S ribosomal RNA". It matches the Rfam family "Bacterial small subunit ribosomal RNA", at positions 338 to 681 of the family's 1533-position model. The record is from RNAcentral.
CCUACGGGAGGCUGCAGUGAGGAAUAUUGGUCAAUGGGCGCGAGCCUGAACCAGCCAAGUAGCGUGAAGGAUGACUGCCCUACGGGUUGUAAACUUCUUUUAUAAAGGAAUAAAGUGAGGGACGUGGGCCGUUUUGUAUGUACUUUAAGAAUAAGGAUAGGCUAACUCCGUGCCAGCAGCAGCGGUAAUACGGAGGAUCCGAACGUUAUCCGGAUUGAUUGGGUUUAAAGGGAGCGGAGGUGGGUUGUUAAAUCAGUUGUGAAAGUUUGCGGCUCAACCGUAAAAUUGCAAUUGAUACUGGCAGUCUUGAGUGCAGUUGAGGUAGGCGGACUUCGUGGUGUAGCGG